AAAUUGAAGAGUUUGAUCAUGGCUCAGAUUGAACGCUGGCGGCAGGCCUAACACAUGCAAGUCGAACGGUAGCACAGAGAGCUUGCUCUCGGGUGACGAGUGGCGGACGGGUGAGUAAUGUCUGGGAAACUG
RNAcentral lists this ribosomal RNA (132 nucleotides) under Enterobacter cloacae. RNAcentral describes it as "partial 16S ribosomal RNA". It matches the Rfam family "Bacterial small subunit ribosomal RNA", at positions 1 to 127 of the family's 1533-position model. The record is from RNAcentral. RNAcentral also lists the same sequence under 7 other names. Lineage: Bacteria; Pseudomonadati; Pseudomonadota; Gammaproteobacteria; Enterobacterales; Enterobacteriaceae.